UUAGUUGUUAGUGGUUAGCUAGAUACCAAGUGAAUAAGAAUAAGAAUAAUAAGAAGAAAAAGAUGAUGAUGAUGAUGAUGAUGAUGAAGAAGAAGAAGAAGAAGAAGAAGAGUAGAGAGGAGAAGAAGAAAGAAGAGGAAAAAGGAAAAGAAGGAAGAAGAAGAAGAAUAAGAAGAGGAAAAAGGAAAAGAAGGAAGAAGAAGAAGAAGAUGAAGAAGAGA
Molecule: long non-coding RNA, 221 nt
Filed under: Hordeum vulgare
Lineage: Eukaryota; Viridiplantae; Streptophyta; Magnoliopsida; Poales; Poaceae
Description: long non-coding RNA (HVUL_LNC001965)
Source: RNAcentral